RNAcentral lists this ribosomal RNA (303 nucleotides) under uncultured bacterium. RNAcentral's name for it is "partial 16S ribosomal RNA". It matches the Rfam family "Bacterial small subunit ribosomal RNA", at positions 507 to 807 of the family's 1533-position model. The record is from RNAcentral.
AGCAGUCGCCGCGGGAAUACGGAGGGUGCAAGCGUUAAUCGGAAUUACUGGGCGUAAAGCGCACGCAGGCGGUCUGACAAGUCAGAUGUGAAAUCCCCGGGCUUAACCUGGGAACUGCAUUUGAAACUGUCAGGCUGGAGUCUUGUAGAGGGGGGUAGAAUUCCAGGUGUAGCGGUGAAAUGCGUAGAGAUCUGGAGGAAUACCGGUGGCGAAGGCGGCCCCCUGGACAAAGACUGACGCUCAGGUGCGAAAGCGUGGGGAGCAAACAGGAUUAGAUACCCGAGUAGUCCCUGUCUCUUAUAC